GACGAACCGUGCGAACGUUAAUCGGAUUCAUUGGGCUUAAAGGGCGCGUAGGCGGCGGCGUAAGUUCGUGGUGAAAUCCCAUCGGCUCAACCGUGGAAUUGCUUCGAAUAUUGCGUCGCUCGAGGGAGAUAGGGGACCGCAGAACUGCCGGUGGAGCGGUGAAAUGUGUUGAUAUCGGCGGGAAUGCCAGUGCCGAAAGGGGCGGUCUGGACCUCUUCUGACGCUGAGGCGCGAAAGCUAGGGGAGCGAACGGG
Molecule: ribosomal RNA, 254 nt
Filed under: uncultured bacterium
Lineage: Bacteria
Description: partial 16S ribosomal RNA
Rfam family: Bacterial small subunit ribosomal RNA
Source: RNAcentral